This 493-nucleotide ribosomal RNA is filed under the name uncultured bacterium. RNAcentral's name for it is "partial 16S ribosomal RNA". It matches the Rfam family "Bacterial small subunit ribosomal RNA", at positions 30 to 523 of the family's 1533-position model. The record is from RNAcentral.
AUUGAACGCUGGCGGCAUGCCUUACACAUGCAAGUCGAACGGUAACAGGUUAAGCUGACGAGUGGCGAACGGGUGAGUAAUAUAUCGGAACGUGCCCAGUCGUGGGGGAUAACUGCUCGAAAGAGCAGCUAAUACCGCAUACGACCUGAGGGUGAAAGCGGGGGAUCGCAAGACCUCGCGCGAUUGGAGCGGCCGAUAUCAGAUUAGGUAGUCGGUGGGGUAAGAGCCCACCAAGCCAACGAUCUGUAGCUGGUCUGAGAGGACGACCAGCCACACUGGGACGGAGACACGGCCCAGACUCCUACGGGAGGCAGCAGUGGGGAAUUUUGGACAAUGGGCGCAAGCCUGAUCCAGCCAUGCCGCGUGCGGGAAGAAGGCCUUCGGGUUGUAAACCGCUUUUGUCAGGGAAGAAAAGGUUCUGGUUAAUACCUGGGACUCAUGACGGUACCUGAAGAAUAAGCACCGGCUAACUACGUGCCAGCCGCCGCCGUAA